This 907-nucleotide ribosomal RNA is filed under the name uncultured archaeon. Its description in RNAcentral is "bacterial SSU rRNA". It matches the Rfam family "Archaeal small subunit ribosomal RNA", at positions 1 to 921 of the family's 1478-position model. The record is from RNAcentral.
UUCCGGUUGAUCCCGCCGGACCUGACUGCUAUCGGAUUGAUACUAAGCCAUGCGAGUCAUUGUAGUAAUACAAGGCAGACGGCUCAGUAACGCGUAGUCAACCUACCCUAUGGACGGGGAUAACCUCGGGAAACUGAGAAUAAUACCCGAUAGAACAUUAUACCUGGAAUGGUUUAUGUUUCAAAUAAUUUAUUGCCGUAGGAUGGGACUGCGGCCUAUCAGUUUGUUGGUGAGGUAAUGGCCCACCAAGACUAUUACAGGUACGGGCUCUGAGAGGAGUAGCCCGGAGAUGGGUACUGAGACACGGACCCAGGCCCUAUGGGGCGCAGCAGGCGAGAAAACUUUGCAAUGUGCGAAAGCACGACAAGGUUAAUCCGAGUGGUUUCUGCUAAAGGAACCUUUUGUCAGUCCUAGAAACACUGGUGAAUAAGGGGUGGGCAAGUUCUGGUGUCAGCCGCCGCGGUAAAACCAGCACCUCAAGUGGUCAGGAUGAUUAUUGGGCCUAAAGCAUCCGUAGCCUGCUUUGUUAGUUUUCGGUUAAAUCCAUACGCUUAACGUAUGGGCUGCCGGGAAUACUGCAAAGCUAGGGAGUGGGAGAGGUAGACGGUACUCGGUAGGAAGGGGUAAAAUCCUUUGAUCUAUUGAUGACCACCUGUGGCGAAGGCGGUCUACCAGAACACGUCCGACGGUGAGGGAUGAAAGCUGGGGGAGCAAACCGGAUUAGAUACCCGGGUAGUCCCAGCUGUAAACUAUGCAAACUCGGUGAUGCAUUGGCUUGAUGCCAAUGCAGUGCCGCAGGAAGCCGUUAAGUUUGCCGCCUGGGAAGUACGUACGCAAGUAUGAAACUUAAAGGAAUUGGCGGGGGAGCACACAAGGGUGAAGCCUGCGUUCAUUGGAUUCACGCGGA